AAAACUAGGGUUUCUAGAACAUUAGGUGCGGCAUGGGCUUAGGGCUAGGGUAAGUAAUCAGAUUUUUUUCAUGUGACCAAGGCCUAGGUGCGGCUGAUUAAGUGGGCUAGGGUUAGGGUUAGGUGCGGCAUAGGUCCAAGAGGCAAAGAUGGGUCAUCCAAAAGCCCAAAGCCGAGAAUAGAAACUCUCGAAAUUGGAAACCUCCAAGAAUAGAAACUUCCAACUUUAGAAACUUUGGUUUCCAAUUCCGAAUUCUUAAUUCAUCACUUUCAUUUCUUCAUUCUUAAGCUUCUUUGACCUUCAAACUCGUCCAUUCCUCGUGCUCCAUUUGCAUACACCACAUUCCAGCUCACUUUUUUCUCCAAAAGCUCCAAAUUGCAUCAUUUCGUGUAAUAUGUCCUUUAACCCUGAAAACACAUGAAAGUAGCUUAAAAGACUACUUUGACGAAGAAAACAUAACAACAAUGCAUAAGAACUAGCUAACUAAGGCGCAUAAAUAUGCUCCUAUCAUUAGGAGGUUCUUCUCCACACAUGACACACUUGCAAACAAAACGAUUUUCAGUUGUUCUCCCAAUAAAUUAUGAAACUCAACACACCAAGUUAAUUAGAUACGCUUAAAUUAACCUUCAAGUUCUCCUAAAGUUAAUGAAUUGGAUGGGAAAGCGCAUACAACAAUUCAAGCAUUCCUUAAAGGUUCCUUACGUGAUGAGCACAAUAAAGAUACAAUCAAGAAUCAUGAAGCACAAUGAGAACUAUAAGUGUUGACGAGGCAUUCGUUACUAUGAUGAGCAUGAAACUAGUGCCAAGAAUUCAUUCAACGCGAUCGUUUUCAAGCGACCUUCACUACUUGUGAUUAUAAGAUUGUAACUAUUAGGUGAAACUCCCUCAUAAUCUAGCAUCAUAUUCAUGCAUGAAAACUAAGCGUGCACUCUCAAUCAACACAUACACAAAUAAGUUAUCAAUCAAGUAGAUGAACGAAUUGAAUCCACAACUUAUGAAAUAACAACUGAAUGUAAUCAAAUCAUAUUGCAAGCAUGUACAUGGUUUCGAAUCACCCCCCAACUAAGGGGGUUUAGUUCCUCAUACUCACAACACAAAGUUUAUUGAAUUGAAACAUUGAAAACAUAAGAAAGAUCACACCUAAAAAUUCCAGCAAUCUAAAUUGCACAGCAGGAACGUCUAAGAACCUUCCUCCUCUUCCUUGGUUGCGGCCCAGGGGUUUGUGAUGGUUUUUGGGGGUUAUGGAUGGUGUGGAAUGGUGGAAAAGUGUGUAGGAUAGGUGUAUGGGACGGCUAGGGUGGUUUUGGGUCAGAAAAUAUGGUGAAUGAUGAAGGAUAGGUGCUGUUGAAGAUGGAGAAUGGUUUCUGGCGUGAAGGAUUAUUUUCUGGAUGAAUGGUCGAAAAUUGGGUGAAUGAGUGAUCCCCCCUAGUGCCUUGCUGCAAAUCCUUAUUUAUAGGGCUAGGAAAGGUUUAGAACUUAGUUGAAACCAAAAGGUUUUGUACCAGAAAUUAGGCAGAAAUUAGGCACCAUGUGUGAAUAGGUAAAGCCUUCUAGAAAUAAGGUUUUGUACUAGAAAUUAGGCAGAAAUUAGGCACCAUGUGUGAAUAGGUAAAGCCUUCUAGAAGGAAUGCUUAUAUGGCUGAUUUCUAGAAGAACAAGGUCUAAAAACAUGUGGCACUAAUGUAGCCUUCUAGAAAUCAGGUUUUUUAGGCCCCCUUGCAGCUCCCUAACUGAAUUCAAGCCUUUCAAAUUCGUCCAUCCAUGAGCCUCCAUGCUUGCACUAUCCAAUCUUGGCCCAAAAAUGCUCUAGAAUGCUCCAAAUUGCUUCUUUUUGCAUACUUUGACACUAAAACCUUGUUCAAGUAGGAAUCAUCAUCUUCAAGCCUUCAAAUUUGUCCAAACCUUGGCUCCAAAUAUGUGACAUGCAUUCCAAACUCCAUUUUGCUUCUUUUUGCACACUUUGACCUUAGAACCUGAAAACACACAAAAGUGACUUUAAACACUAAAAUAGCUAAGUAAACACAACCUAAAUGCACGAGAACAAGCCAAUUAAGUAGCAUAAAUAUGCUCCUAUCAUUCAUAGUAACGAAUGCUUCGUCAAUGCUUAUGUUUUUCAUAGAACGUAAUGAUUCUUGCUUGUUUCUCUAUUAUGCAAUUCAUGUAGGGAACUUGUAGGGAAUGUUUUGGGUUGUCGUAUGCAAUCAUCCAACUUAAUAACUUGUGGAAAAACUGAGGGUUAAUUAGUGCAAUUCACGGUUAAUUUGGGGCGUUGAGUAUUCAUAAUUCAUUGGAAGAACAACUGAAAAUCGUUUUGUUUGCAAGUGUGACAUGUGUGGAGAAGAACCUCCUAACUAGCCUUUUAACCAUCUAUUUCACCAAAAUAGUUUUUGCAAUCUGUUUAGUUAAAGUUUCUGUUUUUGUGUUAAAUUUUCGUCCAAAACAACCCCCCUUAUUUUAGAGUCUUAGAUUAGUUAGAAAGUGUUUUGAUUUGUGUUUCUAAGUGUUUUGAUUCAAGUUUUCAUCCAAUUUCGUCCAAAUUAGUGUAGGUGCUCAAAACUGCCCAGAAAGUGGUUUUUAGGCAGUUUUGAGUCUUCUAGUUGCUGUUUUGAGUUCUAGGGUUGUUUAAGUGUUUUAAACUUUAGUUUUGCAUUCUUUGAGUCUAGUUUAGUGUUUUAAACUUUGUUUUUGAGUUUUUAAGUCAGUUUCCAAGUGUUUAGCAAUCCCUCCUAAUCCCCGGUUUAGAACGAUCCCUACUUACAUCUUUGCUACAAUUAGACAAAAAGAGGGUUUAAUUUGUGUGCUUAUCUAUUUCGCAACAAUGAGGAAGUAGCAUGGCUUGGUUCCUCAUUUGGUUUCUCAUUUUCUCCUUGAGUAACCCCUGCAUUCACAUGAUCAAAUUCAUUAGUAACUUCAUUGCCAACUCUAUUAUUGAUAACCUUACCAUUUCUAAGUGUAGUGAUUGCUUUGGCUUGCUCUUGGUUCCUUUGGAGUAUCACGGGUUGGCUUGGAAACUUUCCAACCUCUCUUUGGUUCAAGGCAUCAGCAAUCUGUCCCAAUUGUGUCUCCAUUUUGGUUAGAGCCGCCGAAUGUUGUUGGAAUGUGCUAUUUGUGGUUUGUUGGAAUUGCAAGGUGUUUUGAGCUAACAACUUAACCGUAUCCUCAAGUGUAGUGGCAGGUUUUGGUUGGAAGUUUUGGAAUUGAUUUUGAUUGUUGUUCUUCCAUGAAAGGUUGGGAUGAUCUCUCCAACUUGGGUUAUAUGUGUUUGAAUACACAUCAUUCCUUGGCCUUUGAUUGUAAGAAUUCAUGAGGUUCACUUGCUCUUGGACAAACUCGGGGUAAGCUUCCCUAGAUGGACAUUGAUGAGUAAGGUGGUUUGGUAUGUUGCAAAUGGCACACACCUCAUUUGCUUUUGGCACCAUGUUGAGCACGGAUUCAAGCUUCUUUUCUAGGUUAGCUACCUGCAACGAAAGAUCAUGAUUAGAGCUUGUUUCAUAUAUUCCAACUUUCUUACCCCUUAAAUCUUUGUGUUGAGCAUUAGACCCCAACAUCUCAUAAAUGUUAUAUGACUCUUGAGCAUUCUUUUUCUUCAAAGCUCCACCUGCUGCAUUAUCAACAGUUGAUUGACAUGUUUGGGUUAGUCCAUCAUAGAAAAUUUGCAUUUGUAAGUGAAGAGGUAACCCAUGGUGUGGACAUUGCAGCAAAAGGCCUUUAAAGCGCUCCCAACACUCAUUGAAAGGUUCUCCAUCAUCUUGUUUGAAGUUGAAGAUUUGUCCCCUUAAUGUGGCUGUCUUUUGAGUGGAAAAGACUUCUCCAAAAACUUCUUAGCCACGGCAUCCCAUGUGGUGAGGGAACCUGGUGCUAGAGUCGUCAACCAACCUUUAGCCCUAUCUUUCAAGGUGUAAGGAAACACUCUUAUCCUCAAAUUUGCUUCACUUACUCCCUGCAAAGGUAAACCACUCACAACAUUAUAAAAUUCUUUAACAUGAGCUAAAGGAUCUUCAUUAGGUAAGCCAUAAAAAGAGGGAAGCAUAUGGAAAUGUGAAGAUUUAAGAUCAUAGUUUCUAGCUUCAGUGGGCAGCAAGAUGCAUGAAGGUGAAUUUGGUAUGAUUGGUUGAGCAAAGUCCUCCAAAGCUCGAAGCUCAUCUUGGUUGCCUGCCAUCUCUUCUUCUCUUUCCCAAUUAACGUGCUCAGAUCCUUCACUUGUUGAACUAGACGAAUUCCCUUCCUUUUCUUCACGGACAAUGGAUGAACUUGUUGGCACAAAGUUGUCCAAAGUGUUGCCCUUUAACCCUUCAAUUCUUUGGCCUAACUCAACAAGUCUAUUUGACAUAUACUACCUGAAACAAAAUAAAACAAGUUUGAAUAAAAAUCAGAACUCUACUUAAAAUGAAAAGAACACGGUUUAAUAGCAAAACAAGCAAUUAUAAGGGACUGAAAUCAGUCCCCGGCAACGGCGCCAUUUUUGUUGAAUUAAUUCCUUCCUAGUGCUAAAACAUGUUGAGUAUAAUAGCACAAGUAAGGGUGUCGAAUCCACAGGGACUAAUUGGACCUAUACAACCACUUGUUUUGCAAGAACCCUAUUAGAUAAUAAAACUAAUCAAUUUAGACAGAUUUGUUGUUGUAACUUGAGAACACACGAAAAUGAAUCAACAAGUAAUAAAAUGGGAUAGCACCAAUGGAUAUGAAGCUAGGGAUUCGGUUUCACCAUUGCUAAACCAAUUCCAUGUUUGUUAAGUCAGUUUAUGCUCAGCCAUCUACCUAUUUCUUGAGUUUGUUUCACUUAGAUAUGAUCAACCAUAUGAUGUGUGGAUUUGAUCAAAUGUUCCUAGUCAAGAACCUAAUUGUGAUGUGCAACUUUGGUUCCUAAUCAAGAAUGUGUCACGCAUAAGAAACUUUCAUAAAACCAAAGGAAACACUUGGCAGGAUGUUUGCAAAACAUUCCCUUCAAUCAUUCCCAUAUCUACCAAGAUUAUGCAUGAUGUGUGCUUUUAAUAUUGGCUAGACAACCUGUGUUUAAUUCAAAUGGUGAUCAAGCAUUAAAAUCAACACACAAAGUCACAAUUAAAUCAGAGAAUGAAACAAGAAAUAGAAGGAUCAACUGAGCAUUCUGAUUUAACUAGAUGGCAAUCUUGCUAGGCUACAUCGAAUCCCUAGAAAGAGAUUAGUUACACUUCAUGUUUACAAAAGGUUUGACAUAGAAAUAUAUAACAUGAGUGAACAUAGAAUUAAGAAGAAGAAACCCUUGAAGCAAAACUGGUGUCGAAAAUCCCUUAAGAGUGGCCUUCGGUGUUGGUUCUCCAAGUGUGAUGUAAAUGAAGGUGGAGCGGCUAUGAUUGAAUGGUUUCUGUAAAUGGGAGAGAGAAUGGACAGAAAUGGAGCAGCUAUGUGUGUGAAUAAUGGUAUGAUGGAAUCCCCCCUUGAAGAAGUGAGUUUGCAUAGUUAUUAUAGGGGUUUUAUGGGAGAGCAUACGGAUGCCUUUAGAAAAGUGGAGCUGGAAGGGCAAAGAUGAGCUAUUUUUGUGAAUGAUGAUGGGGUGGGUGGAUUUCUGGAAUGGUAAAUGCACGGCACAAGGGAAAUAUGCAUGCAUGUGGCUAAUUUAAUUGAAGAUGCAUGUGGAAUAGCUGCAAGGAUGAAGUGGACAACCUGGAAGUGGUUGUACAGGCUGGAAAAGGGGUAUGAAAGUGCACGGCAUGGCUGUGUUUGUUGGUGUAAAUGUGGCUGAAUGGUUUAAUUAAUGGGAGUGCAUGUUUUUGGUGUAAAAGGGAGCUGGAAAGGUAAGGGAAUGCACGGCAAGGUGUGUGGAACCACCCAAUAUGUCCGAAUUGCACCACUUCCUUCCACAUCUUUUCCUGAAAUUCCAGCAGCCAAAAUAGUCCUUGAUUCCUCAUUUGGACUUCAAAUUAACUCCCCAAAAUCUUCUCCACGCUUGGAAUAAUGCUCAGCUACCAAAAAGGGUGUUUUUACUUCAUUUGCCUUCCAAUUGAUCCUAAAACACACUUGGCUGCACACUAACACCAAAUAAUGUAAAAUACAACUAGUUUGAUCCAAAAACAUCACAAAGAUGCCAAAUAUGGAGGAUAUAAAUGCACACGAAAUGUGAACUAUCAGCACACAAAUUAAACCCACUUGUUGACAAUUGUAGUAUGAAUAAGCAGGGAUCGUUCUUAAACCGGGGAUUAGGAGGGAUUGCUAAAACAGUCUAAACUGACUUAAAUAUAUAAAAAGAGGCUAAAAACACUUAACUAGACUCAAAGAACUCAAAUCAAACUCAAAAGACUCAAAACAAGCUAAAAACGCUCAAAACUGCCUAAAAACAAUAAUUAGGCAGUUUCUGACUCUAACACACUUUUUGGACGAAUUUUGGUUUUAUAUUGAUUCAAAACACUUAAAAAUACAAACUAAACAGAUUCUAACUAAUUAGACACUCUAAAGUGGGGGUUUGGUUUUGGUGAAUUUGAAAACAAAACAAACAGAUUGUAAACUAAGCAAAAUUUGGACGAAUUUGGGGUAAAACUAUGGAUGAUAGGCUAGCUAGGAGGUUCUUCUCCACCUUUAACACACUUGCAAAGAAAAUGAUUUCCAGUUGCUUUUCCUAAUCCUCAAUGCCCCAGAUUAACUGUGAAUUGCACUGAUUAACCCUCAGAUUUUCCUAAUUUCAUUGAAUUGGAUGAUUGCAUACAAUAACCCAAAGCAUUCUUCACAAGUUCCCUACAUGAAUUGCAUAAUAAAGAUAUGAGCAAAGAAUUUACAUGAAACUUAUGCCAAGAAUUUACUUAACGCGAUUGUGACAAGCAACCUUCACUACUUAAGAAUAUAAGUUCAUAACGAUUAGGUGAACUCCCUUAUAUCCUAGCGUCAGAUUUAUGCAUGAAAAUUAAGCGUGCACUCUCAACCAACACACACAAAUCAGUUUUACUUCAAACGGAUAAGUAAAUAGAAUUCACAACUUAUGAAUCACAACUAGAUGUAAUCAAAUCAUAUUGCAAGUAUGAACAUGGUUUCAAAUUCCCCUUAGCUAAGAGGGGUUUAAUUCCUCAUACUCACAAAACAAAGAUUAUUGAAUUGAAACAUUGAAAACAAAAGAAAGAUUACACCUAAAACAUUCCAGCAAUCCUAGCUCAAAUGGCAAGCCCGUCCAAGGGCUCUCCUCCCUUCUUGCUGCGGCACAAGGUUUGAUAUCGAGUUUUGGGGGUUAUGGAUGGUGUAGAAGGAUGGGUUUAUGAAAUCUGGUGAAGGAUGGAUUAUCUCAAUGGUGUGUGGCAAAGGCUUUUAUUUAUAGGAGAAGGAAAGGCAAACGGGACAAGGAAGGGUUAUGACACAAAGUGAAAGGGAAAGAGAAAGUUAUGACACAAAGUGAAAUGUAAAGAGAAAGUUAUGACACAAAGUGAAAGGGAAAGGGAAAGUUAUGACACAAAGUGAAAGGCAAAGGGAAAGUUAUGACACAAAGUGAAAGGUAAAGGUAAAGGGAAAGUUAUGACACAAAGUGAAAGGUAAAGUUUGAUGCAACAAGGGGACACAGAAGGGAACACAUGGCUCCAAAUUCUUCCCUCCUUCAUGACUUAAUUCCUUCAUCUUCUUAGCACGUUCCUAGUCUCUUUUGGUCUUCAAAUUCGUCCAUCCACCUUCCUCCAUGCAUGUGUUAUCUAUUCCAAGCCCAAAACUGCUCCACAAUGCCCCAAAAUACACUUUCUUGCCACCUUAGCCCUUUGGACCUAUAAAUACACGAAAAUUGCUUAAAAUAAUAUAACUAAGAACUAACAACAUAAAUGCCAAGAAACAAGCUAACUAAGUCGCAUAAAUAUGCUCCUAUCAGUAAGUAGGGAUCGUUUUAGACCGGCGAUUAACUAGGGAUGCUAACCAACACAAAUAAGACUCAAAAACACUAAACUAGACUCUAUAGACUCAAAACUAACUCAAAACACUCAAAACAGCAACAAACAAUAAAAAAAACUCAAUUCUAGACCUAACAAGUGAUUUUGACGAAAAUAAGACUUAACUUGACUCAAAAGACAAAGAAAAUAGAUUAUGACUCAACUAACAAGACUUAAUGAAAGGGGGAUUGUUUUUAACGAAUUUAAAACUUAGAACAGAAACUUUGCAUAAAACACCUUAUAAAAACGAAUUUGGUGAAUUGAAAAGGGUGGAAGGCUAGUUAAAGGAUCCUUCUCCGCACAUGACAUAUGCAAACAAACUAAUUUCCAAUCAUUAUUCCUUUAAACCAUGAAUGACAACACCCCAAGUUAACCGUAAUAGCACAAAUUAACCAUCAUAUUUUCCUUAUUUCAUUGAAUUGGACAGGAUACGCAUCACAACCAAAUUAUCUUUCUCAAGUCCCCUAACUAUGAAAAGCAUGAUAGAAAGACAUAUCAAAGGUCAUUAAGUUCUUUGAAAACCAUAAGCAUUGACGAGUGAUGCGAAAUAGAUAAGCACUCAAAUUAAACCCUCUUUUUGUCAAAUUGUAGCAAAGAUGUAAGUAGGGAUCGUUCUAGACCGGGGAUUAGGAGGGAUUGCUAAACGCUUGGAAACUGACUUAAACACUCAAAAACAAAGUUAAAAACACUAAACUAGACUCAAAGAAUGCAAAACUAAAAGUUAAAACACUUAAACAAACCUAAAAACCAAAACAGCAACUAGAAGGCUCAAAACUGCCUAAAAACCACUUUCUGGGCAGUUUUGAGCACCAACACUAAUUUGGACGAAAUUUGAUGAAAACUUGAAUCAAAAUACUUAGAAACACAAAUCAAAAACACUUUCUAACUAAUCUAAGACUUCAAAUUAAAGGGGGAUUUUUGUUUUGACGAAAAUUAAACUAAAGAAAACAGAUUGGAAAUAGGGCAGAUUGUAAAAACGAUUUUGGUGAAAUAGAUGGUUAAAAGGCUAGUUAGGAGGUUCUUCUCCACACAUGUCACACUUACAAACAAAACGAUUUUCAGUUGUUCUUCCGAUAAACUAUGAAUACUCAACGCCCCAAGUUAACCGUGAAUUGCACUAAUUAACCCUCAGUUUUUCCACAAGUUAUUAAGUUGGAUGAUUGCAUACGACAACCCAAAAACAUUCCCUACAAGUUCCCUACAUGAAUUGCAUAAUAGAGAUACAAGCAAGAAUCAUUACGUUCUAUGAAAAACAUAAGCAUUGACGAAGCAUUUGUUACUAUGAAUUUGCAUGAAACUUAUGCUAAGAAUUCAUUCAACGCGAUCGUUUUCAAGCGAUCUUCACUACUUGUGAUUAUAAGAUUGUAACUAUUAGGUGAAACUCCCUCAUAAUCUAGCAUCAUAUUCAUGCAUGAAAACUAAGCGUGCACUCUCAAUCAACAUACACAAAUAAGUUAUCAAUCAAAUAGAUGAACGAAUUGAAUCCAUAACUUAUGAAAUAACAACUGAAUGUAAUCGAAUCAAAUUGCAAGCAUGUACAUGGUUUCGAAUCACCCCCCCAACUAAGGGGGUUUAGUUCCUCAUACUCACAACACAAAGUUUAUUGAAUUGAAACAUCGAAGACAUAAGAAAGAUUACACCUAAAAUGCCAAAGAACUCCACUUUUAAUUCUGCACAGCAAGCUCCUCUUUCUUCUUCUCCUUGCUGCGGCAGAGAGGGUUUAGGGGAUUUUUGGGUAGUUUUGGAUGAUUUUGACGAGGGAGAAUGGUGGAAAAAUGUCUAGGAUGGGUGUAGGGCACGGCUAAGAAGGUUUGGGGUCAGAAAAUAUGGAGUUGGGUGAAGGUUGGGCUCGGCAAAGGUGAGGGACAGGUUCUGGCGUGAAUGGAGUUUUCUGGAUGUGUUUUUGGGUUUUGAAAGGUAGAUAGGAUAGUAUGGUGGUGCGGCAAGGUGUGGGAAUGGUUUAUGGAGGUGGAGAAUGGUGUAUGGAUGUGGGAAAGGUUGCUGGAAUGGGUGGUGGCUGCGGCAAGGAGGGGAUUAGGGUGAUGGUGAUUUUCUGAUUUGUGUAGAGGGAAUGAUAUGUGCGGCUAGGGUGUAGAAAUAUAUAUAUAGGCACUUAAAAACCCUAGCAAAUCAGAUUAGGGCCUUUAAAACACAAAUCCAUCAGAAAUUAGGUUGAAAGAAGUAGACAUUUAGUGGGAAAAAAAAAGGGCCUAGGGUGCGGCUGGUAUGUGGGCUAAGGUUAGGGUUUCUAGAAACCCUAACAAGGCAAGGCAAAGUGAUUCUAGAGGGCCCAGGUGCGGCAUAGGAUGAAGGUCCAUAAGGAAUUUGGGUUUAGGACAUCUAAAAGCCCAAAGCCAAGAAUAGAAACUCACGAAAAUGGAAACCUCCAACUUUUAGAAACUUUGGUUGCCAAUUCCGAUUUAGGAAAGAUCAACCCAAAAUGGAAACUUUUAGGCUUAGUUUUCCUACUUCAAGUAGGAAACCUCAACUCUUCAACUCUUCAAUUCCAUCCCAACCUUGUGUUCCAAGCAUGUCCUUUUCAAUCCAAGCUCACUUCUUGCUCCAAAAGCUCCAAUUUGCAUCAUUUCAUGUAAUACGUCCUUUAACCUGAAAACACAUGAAAGUAGCUUAAAAGACUACUUUAACGAAGAAAACAUAACAAAAAUGCAUAAGAACUAGCUAACUAAGGCGCAUAAAUAUGCUCCUAUCAAAUUCCCCCACACUUAGCUUUUGCUAGUCCUCGAGCAAAACAAACAAAAGAAAGAAAACAAAACGAAACAAACUAACCAAAACAAAACCUAAACCUUCCAACGUUUGCCUCAGGGAUUUCCAAUGCACAUGACAUGUUAAAGGUUGUUAUCCCCACAUAUUUGAGUCAUCUUUACACAAGCAUAUACUUAAUUAAAGCCACUACUCACUAGUUCACAAGUAAUCAAUUAAAACAAUGCUUUGAAUGUAAUAACAUGCCUUAGAGAGUUCCCUCAAUUCCUUACAAGAUAUACACUCUAUUUUCACUCAGAUUUUCUAACUCCACACCCUACACUAGUCAUAUGUGAGAAGAUUGAUGUAAAUAUGGAAACGAAUGCUCACAUAUAUGUAUCACAAAGAACGCAAUUUCUAGAGUUAAGAAGCAUGUUUAGAUAUGAUCUCAUGAAUGGAAUGCUACUACUUAGAUGCGAGAACCAGUGACACCAUAUGCUCAUACCAAAUUCAAACUCCACCAAUUGAAACACCUAACACUCAAGAUAGAAGUUAAGGGUUGUAAUGGGGCUUGGGGUGUUGGUUAACAAGGAAAGGAUAGGGAAAACAAACGUUCUUCAAGCAAUAGUAAGCACAGCAAUGAAAUUGAGACUUAGAAUUCACUUAGAUUGCAGAAAUUAACUUUAAAACACAAGGGGGAGACUUAGACAACUCCUUAGGGUCAAAUUCAUUGUUUUGGACCCUUACUUCAACAAACAAUACUUUGGAACUUUUUUUCUCAACUUUUCAACUUUUUUUUUUUUUCAUUCUUCUCAUAUUUUUUUUUUCUUCAAUUUUUCUUUUCUUUGCCGUGCCUAUGGCACACAAUUCCUCAUGAAAAACACUUCCCCCACACUUAUUUUCUGCUAACAUAGAUCACAAGGAAUUCAAUUCGAAUCAUGCUUUACUAUGCUUUAAGAACAAGGGUAUGGAUAGUCCUAAUCUAAGCUAGGUGAGGGUAAUGUGGGUUAACAAAGAAAAGGCUAAACAAGGCUCAACGGGGUUAAACUUAAACAUAUAA
RNAcentral lists this long non-coding RNA (11631 nucleotides) under Malus domestica (apple). RNAcentral's name for it is "long non-coding RNA (MDOM_LNC019716)". The stretch from base 3676 to 3786 matches the Rfam family "Plant small nucleolar RNA R71". Lineage: Eukaryota; Viridiplantae; Streptophyta; Magnoliopsida; Rosales; Rosaceae. The record is from RNAcentral.